AGAGUUUGAUCCUGGCUCAGGAUGAACGCUGGCGGCAUGCCUAAUACAUGCAAGUCGAACGAAACGAAAUGAAAAGCUUGCUUUUGAUUUUGUUUAGUGGCGAACGGGUGAGUAACACGUAGGUAACCUGCCCAUGUACCCGGGAUAACAAAGGGAAACCUUUGCUAAAACCGGAUGAAUUAUAGCGAGGCAUCUCGAAAUAAUAAAAGCACCUAAGGGUGUGGACAUGGAUGGACCUGCGGCGUAUUAGCCAGUUGGCGGGGUAACGGCCCACCAAAGCGAUGACACGUAGCCGGCCUGAGAGGGUAAACGGCCACACUGGGACUGAGACACGGCCCAGACUCCUACGGGAGGCAGCAGUAGGGAAUUUUCGUCAAUGGGGGGAACCCUGAACGAGCAAUGCCGCGUGAGUGAAGAAGGCCUUCGGGUCGUAAAGCUCUGUUGUAAGAGAAAAACGAUGGAUAGAGGGAAUGCUAUGCAAGUGAUGGUAUCUUACGAGAAAGCCACGGCUAACUACGUGCCAGCAGCCGCGGUAAUACGUAGGUGGCGAGCGUUAUCCGGAAUGAUUGGGCGUAAAGGGUGCGCAGGCGGAAUAACAAGUCUGAAGUAAAAGGCAUUGGCUUAACCAAUGUAUGCUAUGGAAACUGUUAAACUAGAGUGCAGGAGAGGGCAGUGGAAUUCCAUGUGUAGCGGUAAAAUGCGUAGAUAUAUGGAGGAACACCCGGUGGCGAAGGCGGCUGCCUGGCCUGUAACUGACGCUGAGGCACGAAAGCGUGGGGAGCAAAUAGGAUUAGAUACCCUAGUAGUCCACGCCGUAAACGAUGAGAACUAAGUGUUGGAGGAAGACUUCAGUGCUGCAGUUAACGCAAUAAGUUCUCCGCCUGGGGAGUAUGCACGCAAGUGUGAAACUCAAAGGAAUUGACGGGGGCCCGCACAAGCGGUGGAGUAUGUGGUUUAAUUCGAAGCAACGCGAAGAACCUUACCAGGUCUUGACAUGGUGUUAAAGGCCCUAGAGAUAGGGAGAUAGCAAUAGCACACACAGGUGGUGCAUGGUUGUCGUCAGCUCGUGUCGUGAGAUGUUGGGUUAAGUCCCGCAACGAGCGCAACCCUUGUCGCAUGUUACCAACAGUAAGAUGGGGACUCAUGCGAGACUGCCGGUGACAAACCGGAGGAAGGCGGGGAUGACGUCAAAUCAUCAUGCCCCUUAUGACCUGGGCUACACACGUACUACAAUGGCGACUACAGAGAGAGGCGAGACUGUGAAGUCAAGCGGAACCCAAAAAAGUCGUCCCAGUUCGGAUUGAAGUCUGCAACUCGACUUCAUGAAGCGGGAAUCGCUAGUAAUCGCGGAUCAGCAUGCCGCGGUGAAUACGUUCUCGGGCCUUGUACACACCGCCCGUCAAACCAUGGGAGUCGGUAAUGCCCGAAGCCGGUGGCACAACCGUUAAGGAGUGAGCCGUCGAAGGCAGGACUGAUGACUGGGGUUAAGUCGUAACAAGGUAACC
RNAcentral lists this ribosomal RNA (1505 nucleotides) under uncultured bacterium. Its description in RNAcentral is "bacterial SSU rRNA". It matches the Rfam family "Bacterial small subunit ribosomal RNA". The record is from RNAcentral.